UGAAAAGAUUCACGUCGUCAUUAUCGACGAUGUUAUUUUCCCUCCAGUCUGAUUGAGUGUCUGGUCUCGUCCACUCUGUUGUAGAAGACACAUACUGUAGGUGUCCCUCCAGUCUGAUUGAGUGUCUGGUCUCGUCCACUCUGUUGUAGAAGACACAUACUGUAGGUGUCCCUCCAGUCUGAUUGAGUGUCUGGUCUCGUCCACUCUGUUGUAGAAGACACAUACUGUAGGUGUCCCCUCCAGUCUGAUUGAGUGUCUGGUCUCGUCCACUCUGUUGUAGAAGACACAUACUGUAGGUGUCCCUCCAGUCUGAUUUAGUGUCUGGUCUAGUCCACUCUGUUGUAGAAGACACAUACUGUAGGUGUCCCCUCCAGUCUGAUUGAGUGUCUGGUCUAGUCCACUCUGUUGUAGAAGACACAUACUGUAGGUGUCCCUCCAGUCUGAUUGAGUGUCUGGUCUCGUCCACUCUGUUGUAGAAGACACAUACUGUAGGUGUUCUUGACAGUCUUGUCUUUCAGUGACAUGAGGUCAAAAUAUGUUGUCGUUUAAACUGUUCCGAAGAUAGAGUCACAUUCGUAGGAAGAAAACGGAAAACCGCUUUGGUUUUUAAAAACCGAAUGUUGCCUACCAGAGGAAAUAACUCCGGUUACAAUGAACCAAAUUGAAUUGUAUUUAUUUAUCCCCUAAUCUGAUAGUAUUCUGGUGUAUCUCACCGCUCACAGAAUAAACAUCAACUGUCUGAUUCAGAAGACUAACCACUUUAACAACUCAUAAACACACCGAUGUUGUCGGUUAAUAAGAGCGGUAUAAACUUACCGGAGAUCGAGUCUGCAACAGAGCUCAGUGAAUGGAAACGGAGAAAGAGAAAGAAAGAAGGGAGGCUGAGAAAGAGUGGAAAAACGAGUUCCCUGAGCGAGAGUCGGGACUCCACCCAUGAUGACUAAACAACUCACCGCACAGCGACUCGUCAGACUGGCUGAAGCAAACGGCUAGUAAAUGUGUUGUCUGACUGUAGUGCGCUUUUGGGACUGGCCGAGGAGUAGGGUUGAUCAGAAACGGCUGUGAUAUGUUGUCUGACUGUAGUGCGCUUUAGGGACUGGCCGAGGAGUAGGGUUGAUCCGAAACGACUGUCAGGCACCCGAGCUAACAGAGGCUCGCUUGUUAGCUACUUCCAGACACAUAAUGAGAGAACACUAUUUUACUCACCCUAGCAAAUCAAAUCACAUCACAUUUUAUUGGUCACAUACAGUGGAGAGAACAAGUAUUUGAGACACUACCGAUUUUGCAGGUUUUCCUACUUACAAAACAUGUUGAGGUCUGUAAUUUGUAUCAUAGGUACACUUCAACUGUGAGAGACGGAAUCUAAAACAAAAAUCACAUUGUAUGAUUUUUAAGUAUUUGAUCACCUACCAACCAGUAAGUAAUCUAACCAAUUCCACAACAACUACCUAAUACACACACAUCUAAAGAGGUGAAUGAGAAUAUGUACAUAUAAAUAUAUGGUGAGUGAUGGCCGAGCGGCAUAGGCAAGAUGCAAUAGAUGGUAUAAAAUACAGUAAAUACAUAUGAUGAGUAAUAUAAGAUAUGUAAACAUCAUUAUUAAAGUGGCAUUGUUUAAAGUGACUAGUGAUCCAUUUAUUAAAGUGGCCA
Molecule: long non-coding RNA, 1650 nt
Organism: Oncorhynchus keta (chum salmon)
Lineage: Eukaryota; Metazoa; Chordata; Actinopteri; Salmoniformes; Salmonidae
Exons: 4
Source: RefSeq, a predicted model, not a curated record